AGCCGAACUGAGAGGUUGAUCGGCCACAUUGGGACUGAGACACGGCCCAAACUCCUACGGGAGGCAGCAGUAGGGAAUCUUCCACAAUGGACGAAAGUCUGAUGGAGCAACGCCGCGUGAAUGAAGAAGGCCUUCGGGUCGUAAAAUUCUGUUGUCAGAGAAGAAUGUGCGUGAGAGUAACUGUUCACGUAUUGACGGUAUCUGGCCAGAAAGCCACGGCUAACUACGUGCCAGCAGCCGCGGUAAUACGUAGGUGGCAAGCGUUGUCCGGAUUUAUUGGGCGUAAAGGGAACGCAGGCGGUCUUUUAAGUCUGAUGUGAAAGCCUUCGGCUUAACCGAAGUAGUGCAUUGGAAACUGGAAGACUUGAGUGCAGAAGAGGAGAGUGGAACUCCAUGUGUAGCGGUGAAAUGCGUAGAUAUAUGGAAGAACACCAGUGGCGAAAGCGGCUCUCUGGUCUGUAACUGACGCUGAGGUUCGAAAGCGUGGGUAGCAAACAGGAUUAGAUACCCUGGUAGUCCACGCCGUAAACGAUGAGUGCUAAGUGUUGGAGGGUUUCCGCCCUUCAGUGCUGCAGCUAACGCAUUAAGCACUCCGCCUGGGGAGUACGGUCGCAAGACUGAAACUCAAAGGAAUUGACGGGGGCCUGCACAAGCGGUGGAGCAUGUGGUUUAAUUCGAAGCAACGCGAAGAACCUUACCAGGUCUUGACAUCUUCUGACAAUUCCAGAGAUGGAACGUUCCCUUCGGGGACAGAAUGACAGGUGGUGCAUGGUUGUCGUCAGCUCGUGUCGUGAGAUGUUGGGUUAAGUCCCGCAACGAGCGCAACCCUUAUUGUCAGUUGCCAUCAUUAAGUUGGGCACUCUGGCGAGACUGCCGGUGACAAACCGGAGGAAGGUGGGGAUGACGUCAAAUCAUCAUGCCCCUUAUGACCUGGGCUACACACGUGCUACAAUGGACGGUACAACGAGUCGCUAACUCGCGAGGGCAAGCUAAUCUCUUAAAGCCGUUCUCAGUUCGGAUUGCAGGCUGCAACUCGCCUGCAUGAAGUCGGAAUCGCUAGUAAUCGCGAAUCAGCAUGUCGCGGUGAAUACGUUCCCGGGCCUUGUACACACCGCCCGUCACACCAUGAGAGUUUGUAACACCCAAAGUCGGUGGGGUAACCUUUUGGAGCCAGCCGCCUAAGGUGGGACAGAUGAUUGGGGUGAAGUCGUAACAAGGUA
This 1220-nucleotide ribosomal RNA is filed under the name metagenome. RNAcentral describes it as "bacterial SSU rRNA". It matches the Rfam family "Bacterial small subunit ribosomal RNA", at positions 285 to 1498 of the family's 1533-position model. The record is from RNAcentral.